This 348-nucleotide transfer-messenger RNA is filed under the name Lachnospiraceae. Its description in RNAcentral is "CAG-791 sp017449485 Standard tmRNA". It matches the Rfam family "transfer-messenger RNA". From Rfam's summary of the family: Bacterial tmRNA, also known as 10Sa RNA or SsrA, is named for its dual tRNA and mRNA-like properties. Its role is to liberate the mRNA from a stalled ribosome. To accomplish this part of the tmRNA is used as a reading frame that ends in a translation stop signal. The record is from RNAcentral. RNAcentral also lists the same sequence under 1 other name. Lineage: Bacteria; Bacillati; Bacillota; Clostridia; Lachnospirales.
GGGUUAGUAAAGGUUUCGACAGGGGUCUUGCAGGUGGAGAAGCUAUCCGACGCUGAUCGUUAAACAGCAAACUUAAAUAUAAACGCUAAGAAUAAUACUUUAGCACUGGCAGCCUGAGUGCUGCUCGUCGCCCGGCUGGUACCUGUGACGGCCGGAUACGGCGUCGACUUUACAGGAAACGACACAGCGACCGCCUCGCAACUGUGGGCGUAACAGAGGAUACCGGAGAGUCGGGAAGUCUGUUCUCCUGACUCCGAGGGAAACGGGUAACCGAAACAGCAGACUAUGAUAGUAGAAGUACACUGAAUGGGUCUUUGGACAGGGGUUCGAUUCCCCUCUAAUCCACGA